This 491-nucleotide ribosomal RNA is filed under the name uncultured bacterium. RNAcentral's name for it is "partial 16S ribosomal RNA". It matches the Rfam family "Bacterial small subunit ribosomal RNA", at positions 29 to 506 of the family's 1533-position model. The record is from RNAcentral.
AGUGAACGCUGGCGGUAGGCCUAACACAUGCAAGUCGAACGGCAGCGCAGUAAGAGCUUGCUCUUACGGGUGGCGAGUGGCGGACGGGUGAGGAAUACAUCGGAAUCUACUUUUUCGUGGGGGAUAACGUAGGGAAACUUACGCUAAUACCGCAUACGACCUACGGGUGAAAGCAGGGGAUCUUCGGACCUUGCGCGAUUGAAUGAGCCGAUGUCGGAUUAGCUAGUUGGCGGGGUAAAGGCCCACCAAGGCGACGAUCCGUAGCUGGUCUGAGAGGAUGAUCAGCCACACUGGAACUGAGACACGGUCCAGACUCCUACGAGAGGCAGCAGUGGGGAAUAUUGGACAAUGGGCGCAAGCCUGAUCCAGCCAUACCGCGUGGGUGAAGAAGGCCUUCGGGUUGUAAAGCCCUUUUGUUGGGAAAGAAAAGCAGCAGGUUAAUACCCCGCUGUUCUGACGGUACCCAAAGAAUAAGCACCGGCUAACUUCGU